UACGAAGGGGGCUAGCGUUGUUCGGAAUCACUGGGCGUAAAGCGCACGUAGGCGGCUUAGCAAGUCGGAUGUGAAAUCCCUCGGCUCAACCAAGGAAGUGCAUCCGAAACUGCUGAGCUUGAGUACGAAAGAGGAUCGCGGAAUUCCCGGUGUAGAGGUGAAAUUCGUAGAUAUCGGGAGGAACACCAGUGGCGAAGGCGGCGAUCUGGGUCGAUACUGACGCUGAGGUGCGAAAGCGUGGGGAGCAAACAGG
RNAcentral lists this ribosomal RNA (253 nucleotides) under uncultured bacterium. Its description in RNAcentral is "partial 16S ribosomal RNA". It matches the Rfam family "Bacterial small subunit ribosomal RNA", at positions 524 to 776 of the family's 1533-position model. The record is from RNAcentral.